RNAcentral lists this microRNA precursor (136 nucleotides) under Hordeum vulgare. RNAcentral describes it as "microRNA MIR1122". It matches the Rfam family "MIR1120/MIR1122 microRNA precursor family". The record is from RNAcentral. Lineage: Eukaryota; Viridiplantae; Streptophyta; Magnoliopsida; Poales; Poaceae.
AAUAUAUUCCCUCCGUCUCAAAAUUCUUGUCUUAUAUUUGUUUAAAUAUGAAUGCAUCUACCCAAGUUUUAGUAUUUAGAUACAUCCAUUUCAAGACAAAGCUAAGACAAGAAUUUUGGGACGGAGGGAGUAGAUA